Molecule: ribosomal RNA, 253 nt
Filed under: uncultured bacterium
Lineage: Bacteria
Description: partial 16S ribosomal RNA
Rfam family: Bacterial small subunit ribosomal RNA
Source: RNAcentral
UACGAAGGGGGCUAGCGUUGUUCGGAAUUACUGGGCGUAAAGGGCGCGCAGGCGGCCCUCCAAGUCAGGCGUGAAAGCCCCGGGCUCAACCCGGGAAUAGCGCUUGAGACUGGGGGGCUUGAGUUCGGGAGAGGAGAGUGGAAUUCCCAGUGUAGAGGUGAAAUUCGUAGAUAUCGUAAGGAAGACCAGUGGCGAAGGCGAAUCUCUGGACAGUUACUGACACUGAGGCACGAAGGCCAGGGGAGCAAACGGG